RNAcentral lists this long non-coding RNA (384 nucleotides) under Mytilus galloprovincialis (Mediterranean mussel). The record is from RNAcentral. Lineage: Eukaryota; Metazoa; Mollusca; Bivalvia; Mytilida; Mytilidae.
GAAAUCAAGGUGUGUAAAAAGUCCAUACUAAAGAUGGAAAAUGUACUGAAUUCACAAAUAGAAAGAAAAGAAAACUACAGAAAAUAACAAUGCUAUGACAGAAAAUGUAUUGAUUAAUAAAAACUGUCUUAUGUUAAACAUUGAAAGCUGGAUAGAAUAAAUUCAGAAAUAAAAGACUUGAACAAUCAAAUAGUCUACAAAAAAAGGAGAAAAGCCAAAUGAGGAUAAACUAUAUGUACCAGACAUGCCAGAUGUGAUGAAUAAACAAGUAAAUAGAGAUUUAAUUCAUAAAGAGAACAGAAAAAUGUACAAAAGAUCAGUACGAGAGAAGAAAGUAAAAACAUAAUAAAAGACGGGAUAAGACCAUUUAUGGUGCUACACAGC